This 594-nucleotide ribosomal RNA is filed under the name Morchella sextelata. RNAcentral describes it as "eukaryotic LSU rRNA". It matches the Rfam family "Eukaryotic large subunit ribosomal RNA", at positions 50 to 654 of the family's 3401-position model. The record is from RNAcentral. Lineage: Eukaryota; Fungi; Ascomycota; Pezizomycetes; Pezizales; Morchellaceae.
GCGGAGGAAAAGAAACCAACAGGGAUUGCCUCAGUAACGGCGAGUGAAGCGGCAAAAGCUCAAAUUUUAAAGCUGGCAUCUUCGGUGUCCGCGUUGUAAUUUUGUGAGGCAUCUCCGGGUAGGGCGCCGGCCUAAGUUCCUUGGAACAGGACGUCACAGAGGGUGAGAAUCCCGUGCUUGGCUGGCUGUCCCCGUCCAUGUGAGGUGUCUUCGACGAGUCGAGUUGUUUGGGAAUGCAGCUCAAAAUGGGUGGUAAAUUUCAUCUAAAGCUAAAUAUUGGUGGGAGACCGAUAGCGCACAAGUAGAGUGAUCGAAAGAUGAAAAGCACUUUGAAAAUAGAGUUAAAAAGUACGUGAAAUUGUUGAAAGGGAAGCGCUUGAGACCAGACUUCGGUAGGGGGUGAUCAGCCGUGCUUCGGCGCGGUGCACUUGUUCCUCUCCGGGCCAGCAUCGGUUGAGGCGGCGGGAUAAAGGUCCCGGGAAUGUGGCUCCUUCACGGGAGUGUUAUAGCCCGGGUGAAUGCCGCCAGCCUCGACCGAGGACCGCGCCCGCAAGGGUUAGGAUGCUUGGCAUAAUGGUCUUCAGCGACCCGUCU